Xiphophorus couchianus (Monterrey platyfish) is the source of this 1238-nucleotide long non-coding RNA. RefSeq lists it as uncharacterized. The record is from RefSeq and is a predicted model, not a curated record. The transcript has 5 exons. Lineage: Eukaryota; Metazoa; Chordata; Actinopteri; Cyprinodontiformes; Poeciliidae.
ACUACCAUAAGACAUCUUUACAAGUAGUUACUGUAAUUUGCAUUGCAUUAUGGGUAUAGUACAUAGUAUUACAGUAACUUACUGUAUGUUUUGAAUUUGCAGUAAUUUACUGUUUACACAUUACAGUAGUGGUACUGUACUUAUAAUAUACAGUAAGAAUUAUAUUUGAUUUCCAACGGUCAUCAUAGCUGCUUCAUCGUGGUUCCCUGUUUCUGUAUUUUUACUCCUUUAGUGGUUAACAUAUUUUUAAGGCAGAAAGAGAGAAUGUACUUUUGUUUUUUUCACAUCCUAGCUAACAUUAACAUGCAGUUUAUCUAGCUACGUCAUCAAGCGUGGCUUCGCUUCCAACCAGCUUUUUCUCUCCAAGUGCAGCUCUGUCUCCGUGCUGUGGGCUCACACUGCUUCAGCUCUUCAAGACAGAUGACUUUUUGUUUUAACUCCCAAGCUUUUUCCCUCCAAGUUUCUGUGCAGUUCUGCCCUGUUGAGUGCUAACAGCUUCAUCUCUUCAAAAGACAAGACAACAGGUAUCUUCCACCAAGAUGUCUGUUGAAAUGGAAAUGACCUUACCCACUACACCAAGGGUAAUCAUGCUUGGAAAUAGCUUGAUGUCUGCAACCCGGUGGAUGGUCAGUAUGGAGGAGAAGGUAUUUUUCGAGCCUGAGCAACUACAUGACUUUGCCAGCGUCCUUGCUGUCUUUUUUGGGUCAUAUUAUGUCUUCAAUCUGGAGUAUCAGGAGUCAGCAUCCACCACGCUGGAGAUGAUACAACAGCAAGUACUCUACACCAAGCCAUUUAUGAAUUAAAUUUAAUGACAGUUUGACUGAUGAUGAAGAACCAUAGCUGAUUGCUGUAUUGUACGUCUUCAUUAAAAAUUACAAUUAAUAUAUUUUAUUUCUGUUAAAAGAUUCUUUGUGAGGAUCAAUCCAGAUGUUGGUACCAAAUGUCUUGUCAUGAGGAAAGUAGUCAGUGUGAACUCCCAGAUCACCACCUUCUUCCAACGACUUGCUGAAUUUGAAUGGAGGACUUCCAACUAGUUCAGCUUCCACAAGAUGGAUCCCACUGAUUUUGUUUGACGAAUGGAAUAAAAGUUCUUCUGAUGUAGGAAAUGUGUUCUAUGGUUUUGUUGUUUUAUAGCACAUUAUAUUGUAUUGUGACAUUGUUCUUUAUGACAUUGCGAAUAUGUAAAUGGAUUUUAUUUCUACAAAUCUGCUGAAAAUAAAUACCUGUUAUUCACAGUA